Molecule: ribosomal RNA, 216 nt
Filed under: Glomeromycotina sp.
Lineage: Eukaryota; Fungi; Glomeromycota
Description: partial small subunit ribosomal RNA
Rfam family: Eukaryotic small subunit ribosomal RNA (bases 87-216)
Source: RNAcentral
GGGUCAGUAGGUUGGUCGUGCCACCGGUACGUACUGGUCUCACUGGUUCCUCCUUCCUGAAGAACCGUAAUGCCAUUAAUCUGGUGUUGCGGGGAAACAGGACUGUUACUUUGAAAAAAUUAGAGUGUUUAAAGCAAGCUAACGCUUGAAUACAUUAGCAUGGAAUAAUGAAAUAGGGCGAUCGAUCCUAUUUUGUUGGUUUCUAGGAUUGACGUA